RNAcentral lists this ribosomal RNA (373 nucleotides) under uncultured organism. RNAcentral describes it as "partial 16S ribosomal RNA". It matches the Rfam family "Bacterial small subunit ribosomal RNA", at positions 527 to 896 of the family's 1533-position model. The record is from RNAcentral.
GUAGGUGGCAAGCGUUGUCCGGAAUUAUUGGGCGUAAAGCGCGCGCAGGCGGUUCUUUAAGUCUGACGUGAAAGCCCACGGCUCAACCGUGGAGGGUCAUUGGAAACUGGAGAACUUGAGUACAGAAGAGGAAAGCGGAAUUCCACGUGUAGCGGUGAAAUGCGUAGAGAUGUGGAGGAACACCAGUGGCGAAGGCGGCUUUCUGGUCUGUAACUGACGCUGAGGCGCGGAAGCGUGGGGAGCAAACAGGGAUUAGAUACCCUGGUAGUCCACGCCGUAAACGAUGAGUGCUAAGUGUUAGGGGGUUUCCCGCCCCUUAGUGCUGCAGCUAACGCAUUAAGCACUCCGCCUGGGGAGUACGGCCGCAAGGCUG